UACGUAGGGCGCAAGCGUUGUCCGGAAUUAUUGGGCGUAAAGAGCUCGUAGGCGGCUUGUCACGUCGGAUGUGAAAGCUCGGGGCUUAACCCCGAGUCUGCAUUCGAUACGGGCUAGCUAGAGUGUGGUAGGGGAGAUCGGAAUUCCUGGUGUAGCGGUGAAAUGCGCAGAUAUCAGGAGGAACACCGGUGGCGAAGGCGGAUCUCUGGGCCAUUACUGACGCUGAGGAGCGAAAGCGUGGGGAGCGAACAGG
This 253-nucleotide ribosomal RNA is filed under the name uncultured bacterium. Its description in RNAcentral is "partial 16S ribosomal RNA". It matches the Rfam family "Bacterial small subunit ribosomal RNA", at positions 524 to 776 of the family's 1533-position model. The record is from RNAcentral.